This 471-nucleotide ribosomal RNA is filed under the name uncultured bacterium. RNAcentral describes it as "bacterial SSU rRNA". It matches the Rfam family "Bacterial small subunit ribosomal RNA", at positions 28 to 469 of the family's 1533-position model. The record is from RNAcentral.
GACGAACGCUGGCGGCGUGCCUAACACAUGCAAGUCGAACGGAGUGUUGCGCUGAAUUGAUGGUAGCUUGCUACAGGAUUUUCUUGUAACACUUAGUGGCGGACGGGUGAGUAACGCGUGAGCAACCUGCCUUACAGAGGGGGACAACAGUUGGAAACGACUGCUAAUACCGCAUGAUGUAUCUUGAAGGCAUCUUCGAGAUACCAAAGGAGAAAUCCGCUGUAAGAUGGGCUCGCGUCCGAUUAGAUAGUUGGUGGGGUAACGGCCUACCAAGUCUGCGAUCGGUAGCCGGACUGAGAGGUUGAUCGGCCACAUUGGGACUGAGACACGGCCCAGACUCCUACGGGAGGCAGCAGUGGGGGAUAUUGCACAAUGGGCGCAAGCCUGACGGAGCAACGCCGCGUGAGUGAAGAAGGUUUUCGGAUCGUAAAGCUCUGUUGAGAGGGACGAGAGAUAUAAUCAGGAAAUGGG